CAACCAUCUCCACCAUCCAUGCUCCUCCAGUGCCCUGACAAGCUCUGUUAUCUUCUCCUGUACCUCCUUCAAUUCCUCUCCCCCAAUAUCUGAACACCGGAACGACGGGGAGCGGGCAGAAGAGGUGCCUGCUGGUGGUGAUGGCCUCCUCGUCGAUUGCGGUGGCGCAGACGACGUCAACGGGCGGGGCCAACCAAUCGAGGGCGACAUCCAAGGACCUCAUCACGCUCAACGGUUCCGCCGCCUUAUUUCUUCAGUUACGCGGCAAACGGGAGCGGCACUGUCAUGAAAUCCAUGAGCGAAGACAUCCAAAAUGAUUAUUCCAACCAUAGAUUGCUGGCUGCAAUGCGUGACCAUUUCGGGUCAGUAAAUUGUGUGAGAUGGGCUAAGCAUGGGCGCUAUCUUGCUUCAGUAUCAGAUGAACAAGCAUUCAAGCUAUCCUAAUUCAUUGAAAGGAAAGCUGGUUCUGGUACAUCUGAGUUUGGAUGUGGAAGAGAGGAUAAAUACAAGCUACUUCUACAGCCUUCUUACUUUCAGAGGAGUGGACUGCCAUCAUAUAUGGGAUAAAAUUAUUCCUAAUAAGCAUUGAGUAUUCCUUUGGCUAGCUUUCAGAGGAAGAUUAAAUACCAAGGACAACAUGAUCAAGAAGAGCUGGACUGCCGUCGUUCAGCAUGAUGGAUGUGAUAUUUGCCCGCUGCUGAAACCGUUAGCCACAUCAUGCUGAGAUGCAAAUUAUCUGAUGUUAUUUGGCAGAAGGCUGGACUUUGGGCAUCGGCCAAAUCAUCCCGAGUAAUUACUGAGUUUUUUCUCUCAGCUGCGGAUUGUAAUUUAUUUGGUAAGCUUUGGCACAUCUUCUUCGCAGCAUGCUCGGUCUCUUUGUGGACGGCUUGGAACGCUAGAGUGUUUGACAACUGUUUUUGGUCUGUGGCUCGAAUGCUCGCUGAGUUGGCUGAACUCAUCACACUCUGGAGCUCGCAUGCUGUCAGAGAGGAAGACCGACAUACUAUGUUGUCUUGGGCAAAUUCACUGAGAUAGUUGUUGAUCACCGAAACUUAUUUCUUUCUCUCUUUCUUUUGCCUUUCGCCUUUGUAAAGCAUCCUGUUCAGCGGUCUGGUGAUAACCGGUCACACUGUUUUGUGUGGCGCUAAUAUCACCUUCAUGUAAUUGACUCCGGUCACCCAGGCUCACGCAUGCUUUGAAUGCAUAAGGUAGAAAGCGAUAAUACCUUUUUAUUCAAAAGAAAAAGAGUUUGGAUGUGGAGAGCCCGCAGAUGUAGAAAAUUGGAAGGUCGUUAUGGCCUCAACCCUCAAGGAGGCAUGCUUAGGAUGUGCUGCAGAAGACGGAUGCGAAGAUGUCGAGCAUGUGGCCCUGCGCACAAGAGAAUACAGUGAGUCCAUACAAUCCAAUUUCCUUACUCUGUAGACUCCAGGUGCCUCUUGAUUCACCUUUUUUUACAUUCCAUAGAAGAUAAGGAAAGACAUGUUUUUCAGUUUUGAUGUGCCAUGAACUUACAAUUUUUUUACUGGAACUAUACAAGGCUUCAAAAUUCAGUUAUCAGAAUAUGAAUUAAUCCUAGAUAACAUAUGCUAUUGGUCUGGCAGCUUACUGCCAUAAAAGUUGUGCUCUGAAGGGGUGCGAGGACUGCUAGGGAUGUACAGGGUAUGACACGUGGAGAGGGUGCUUCCAAUUGGUAAUUCAAACUCCGGAAAACACAAAUUCUCUCACAUUAUUACAGGAAGUGUUGCUAAAUCACGACAGUUUAGAAGUACGUUACUGAAUGUACUGAACCACAUGUUACUAGUGAUCAUGAAUUGUGGAAACUUGAUGAUAU
RNA transcript from Aegilops tauschii subsp. strangulata, 1831 nucleotides. RefSeq lists it as uncharacterized. Lineage: Eukaryota; Viridiplantae; Streptophyta; Magnoliopsida; Poales; Poaceae. The record is from RefSeq and is a predicted model, not a curated record.